RNAcentral lists this ribosomal RNA (853 nucleotides) under uncultured Lactobacillus sp. Its description in RNAcentral is "bacterial SSU rRNA". It matches the Rfam family "Bacterial small subunit ribosomal RNA", at positions 52 to 868 of the family's 1533-position model. The record is from RNAcentral. Lineage: Bacteria; Bacillati; Bacillota; Bacilli; Lactobacillales; Lactobacillaceae.
UACAUGCAAGUCGAACGAGUUCUGAUUAUUGAAAGGUGCUUGCAUCUUGAUUUAAUUUUGAACGAGUGGCGGACGGGUGAGUAACACGUGGGUAACCUGCCCUUAAGUGGGGGAUAACAUUUGGAAACAGAUGCUAAUACCGCAUAAAUCCAAGAACCGCAUGGUUCUUGGCUGAAAGAUGGCGCAAGCUAUCGCUUUUGGAUGGACCCGCGGCGUAUUAGCUAGUUGGUGAGGUAACGGCUCACCAAGGCAAUGAUACGUAGCCGAACUGAGAGGUUGAUCGGCCACAUUGGGACUGAGACACGGCCCAAACUCCUACGGGAGGCAGCAGUAGGGAAUCUUCCACAAUGGACGCAAGUCUGAUGGAGCAACGCCGCGUGAGUGAAGAAGGCUUUCGGGUCGUAAAACUCUGUUGUUGGAGAAGAAUGGUCGGCAGAGUAACUGUUGUCGGCGUGACGGUAUCCAACCAGAAAGCCACGGCUAACUACGUGCCAGCAGCCGCGGUAAUACGUAGGUGGCAAGCGUUAUCCGGAUUUAUUGGGCGUAAAGCGAGCGCAGGCGGUUUUUUAAGUCUGAUGUGAAAGCCCUCGGCUUAACCGAGGAAGUGCAUCGGAAACUGGGAAACUUGAGUGCAGAAGAGGACAGUGGAACUCCAUGUGUAGCGGUGAAAUGCGUAGAUAUAUGGAAGAACACCAGUGGCGAAGGCGGCUGUCUGGUCUGUAACUGACGCUGAGGCUCGAAAGCAUGGGUAGCGAACAGGAUUAGAUACCCUGGUAGUCCAUGCCGUAAACGAUGAAUGCUAGGUGUUGGAGGGUUUCCGCCCUUCAGUGCCGCAGCUAACGCAUUAAGCAUU